AUUGUUUAUUUUUUUUUAUUUUAUAUUUGUAAAAUAUUUUAAUUUUUUAUUGUUUUUUAAAAUGUUAAAAAUUUGUUUUUUGAACUGGAUUAGUACCCAGGUAAUCAAAAAUUAUUAAUUCGGGAGUAAAGUUUUGUUUAAACCGAAAAAAUAUUGACUGACUUUGGAUUUUUCUUUGGAACAUGUGUUUGGAGAGCCCUCCUUUUUAGUUUUCUCUUUUUACUCAUGUAUGAUUGUUUAGUUUUUAUAUUAUUUUGUGAUGCUUUAUUUGUUAUGAACAUUAAAAACAGAUAUAUACUUGGUAUAUGGGGGAAUUUUAACAUGUGUUACUAUUAUAAAUUUUUUUUGGAUAAUUUUUUAUUUUUUUUUUGAAAUUGGAAAARAAAGUAAUUAUUUUUUUAUAUAAUAAUGAAUUU
RNAcentral lists this ribosomal RNA (416 nucleotides) under Breinlia jittapalapongi. RNAcentral describes it as "partial 12S ribosomal RNA". Lineage: Eukaryota; Metazoa; Nematoda; Chromadorea; Rhabditida; Onchocercidae. The record is from RNAcentral.